UACGUGGGGGGCAAGCGUUGUUCGGAAUUACUGGGCGUAAAGGGCUCGUAGGCGGCCAAUUAAGUCAGACGUGAAAUCCCUCGGCUUAACCGGGGAACUGCGUCUGAUACUGGAUGGCUUGAGUUUGGGAGAGGGAUGCGGAAUUCCAGGUGUAGCGGUGAAAUGCGUAGAUAUCUGGAGGAACACCGAUUGCGAAGGCAGCUCACUAGGCUUUAACUGACGCUGAGGCACGAAAGCGUGGGGAGCAAACAGG
Molecule: ribosomal RNA, 253 nt
Filed under: uncultured bacterium
Lineage: Bacteria
Description: partial 16S ribosomal RNA
Rfam family: Bacterial small subunit ribosomal RNA
Source: RNAcentral